UACGUAGGGGCGAAGCGUUAUCCGGAAUUACUGGGCGUAAAGGGUGCGUAGGUGGCCUGACAAGUCAGGGGGUCGAAAGGCAACGGCUCAACCGUUGUAAGCCCCUUGAAACUGUCGGGCUUGAGUUCAGGAGAGGAAAGCGGAAUUCCAAGUGUAGCGGUGAAAUGCGUAGAUAUUUGGAGGAACACCAGUGGCGAAGGCGGCUUUCUGGACUGAUACUGACACUGAGGCACGAAAGCGUGGGGAGCAAACAGG
This 255-nucleotide ribosomal RNA is filed under the name uncultured bacterium. RNAcentral describes it as "partial 16S ribosomal RNA". It matches the Rfam family "Bacterial small subunit ribosomal RNA", at positions 524 to 776 of the family's 1533-position model. The record is from RNAcentral.